Nematostella vectensis (starlet sea anemone) is the source of this 2411-nucleotide RNA transcript. It is a transcript of the gene named DNA damage-regulated autophagy modulator protein 2, with no coding region annotated. NCBI's taxonomy places the organism in Eukaryota, Metazoa, Cnidaria, Anthozoa, Actiniaria, Edwardsiidae. The transcript is spliced from 11 exons. The record is from RefSeq and is a predicted model, not a curated record.
AGUUGGUAAAACAAAAUGGCACAAAUAUCGCCAAAGAAACCGUACGAUUCCGGCAACAAAAAUUCUUGGAUGGCGUUUAAUCCACUUUCCAGUCUCCAUUUCUUGCCAAUCACCCUUGGCCUUCUGGCAGUAAUUGCUUUUUUCACAGCGUAUGGCAUGGCAGUGUAUUAUGGACAUGUUGAUGCCCUUUUUCCUUACAUAAGUGAUGCAGGUAGUAGGGUACCUGAGAGCUGCAUUUUUGGACAGUUUUUAAAUCUUGCUGCAUUCGUAGCAUUUGCAGCAAUGUAUAUUCAUUAUAAGCACAUCAAGGAAUUUAACAUCACUAGUAUGCCACUUGUUAAGAAAUUGAAUAACAUCUCUAUCUGGCUAUCCGCUUUUACUUGUCUUGGACUGUCUAUGGUGGCAAAUUUUCAGUACACUAGCAUCUCAGUGCCUCAUUUUAUUGGAGCGUUCCUUGUAUUUGGACUGGGUAUCCUCUACUGCUGGAUUCAGAGUGUUAUUUCCUACAAAAUGAAGAACCAAGGGAUGAGUACCGCAUUGACAGCCUUCACACGCUUUGCUCUUUCGUUUGCAUCAACCAUUUUUUUCCUCAUCACUUUAAUUGGAGCUGGUGUGGCAAAUAGUGAAUGGAAGAGUGCCCAUGGGUCUAGGAACAUCACAGGCAAUACCACCAUCACACCCACUACCCCACUGGAUAGUUGGACAUCUGAUCAGUCGGGAUAUGACAGCCACUUAGCCAGCACUUUCAGUGAGUGGUUGAUGGGAUUCAGUUUUCUGCUGUUCUUCAUGACUUACUACCGAGAAUUCAAGAAAAUCACCAUCGCCAUAAAGGUGGUCCCCAAAGAGGCUGAGGUGUUUAGUCCAUCCAGUGAUGAUGUUAUUGGUAUUGUCGCAUAGCAACCAAGGAAGGGGACUGUAGAGGUAGCGCAAGUUCCAUUCUGUUAGCAGGCAGAAAGCUCAACCAAUCAGUGAAGUGAUAUUACAACAAACAAACAACAAACGAGGAGUACCUUUAUUACUCUCCUUAAAAGGACAACAGGAGGCAUUUGUGUACAUCAUAAUAAAAUCUGUUGCGCCUUCACUUAAUAGAAAAAAAUAUGGUUUAAUGACAAAAAAACUUGUCUGCACUUAUAUUUUAAUACACUGAAUGUAUUGAAACAAUGCGAAUGUUUAAUAUACCGGAAUUGUUAUGAUGCGUAUUUUUUUUAUCUGAAUUCAAAUGCUGCGAAUUUUUAAUUAACCCAAUCCAGUAGGGGUCGACGCUUCUUCAUAAACUGUUCCCAAGAAAUGCAAACUAUGCUUGCGAAGUCGAUUUGGAUGACUGACCAGCGAUGACUGAUCAGAUUUGUUAUGGGAAAGGAUACAUCAUACAAUAACUGCUUGACGAAGAUAUCUUUAAAAUAGUGCGCCAUGGAGAAUACUGUCAAAACUCCACAGCUGAAAUACGGAGGGGGUCCUAGCUGUUACUGGUGCGGAAAGACGGUUUAUGGUAACGAGAGAAACGACGAGGGUGGACGGACUUUCCAUCGCUCCUGCUUCUACUGCUUUGAUUGCAGAAAAGCCUUGGACUCUACUAAUCUGUGCUCUCGGGUCAAAAAUGGGUUCGAGCUCUUAUGCAAGACCUGUUAUGCCAAAAAGCACGGCCCCAAGGGGGUAGGGUUCGGGAUUGGUGCCGGCGCUCUGCGCUUCACGUGAUCAACAUGGAUGAAAUGACGUCAUUUAUUCAAUUGUCGCGUCGUAAUCUUUCUAUAAUGGCUAACUCGUUAAAAAAGUACACAAACAUGGGCGGUUAUCAUUCAAGCCUGAAAUACAUAGGAUCUUCACUUAUUUCUUCGUUCUCGUUUGUGCUUUAUCUACUUUUUUUUGGAUUGUACAUUUUUUUUCAAGGAAAAAUGUAAACAGUUUAAUGGACAUAAUUUACAAGAGUUUGUUUUAAUCUUUACCCCCCCCCCCCCCCUCAUACUUUACUGAUGACGUCCUUUCUUUGUUUCCUUAGCUUAUCGAUAUAAUAUACACAAGAAAUUUAUCAUUUUCCUUGUACCCCAAACACAGUAAUAUUAUGUGUACACUUCCUGUCAAAUUAACUUUCGAUUUCAUAAAUAAUUCCACCCCAUCAAUUCCUUGAGGAAUAAUAAUAAUUGGGUAUGUAAAAGUGUACCGGCAUGCACCUAGGGUUGAGCACAGGGGUUGCACCCCUAUUCUUUUUUUAAAUGCACCCCCCCCCCCUCCCCAGCUUAUUGUCUGGCUAUUUGAUGGGAUGCUGUUGACAAGAUCCGCAUUUGAAAGUCAUCAAUGUGUUAAUGAUUUAAGAUUGACUGUUAAGGUUAUCAGACUUAGCCUUGCCCUUUCUUGACACACAAUGCCUUCAAUAAACUGAUUUAUUUUGUUUAAUAAAAUAAUACUAGAAGCAA